Long non-coding RNA from Helianthus annuus (common sunflower), 660 nucleotides. RefSeq lists it as uncharacterized. The record is from RefSeq and is a predicted model, not a curated record. The transcript is spliced from 3 exons. Lineage: Eukaryota; Viridiplantae; Streptophyta; Magnoliopsida; Asterales; Asteraceae.
AGGGAUCAAACUCCUUCAUCUUCCUCAUAUUUUCUUCACAGACACUUGUUUCUUAAAAAUCUCUACUCCCACUCGAUCUCUACUGCCAAAUCACACAAUACACACCAUAUACCUCACCUCCACACCCUCUCUACAACUAACCGGCGCCGGAGCCGAUUAACCGGCGGCCGGCGAUGGAUGACGCAGCCGACAACCCCAUACCCCUCUCUCUCUCUCGCACACCAUUUCAGUCAGAAACACACAAGACCUCGACGACAAUUCAACUUCCGGCGACAAACGCCGCUUAUGGCGGCAACACUGUCUUCCGUCGCCGACGUCGAAGUGGCGGACGACGGCGGUGGUGAUUCGGGGUCAAUCGCAGGUUCGGAUCCUAUCUCGGUUCAGACUUAACUCGGGUUCAGGCUUAGCGGGAGGUUGCGGGUCUCGAUACUCGGGUCAGAAGGUUGUCCGGGUCGAUGAUGAUGAUGGUCGGGUUCUGACGGCACCGGGUCAGCGUGGUCGUCUCGGUUCCGUCAACAGCAGUCAAACUCAGUCAUUGGUUCGGGUUCGCUAUGGUUCGGGUCGGUAUCGGUUCGGUCAAACUAGUUAGCUGGUCAACACGGGUUACUCGCGAGAUACGGGUGACCUCGGUGUUCCAUCCUCCUAAUCUCAUACACUCGU